UCACAAAGCGACGAGAGGCGUGAGCCAUCCACAAAGGAUACUGUGCCGCGGCCGCGACGCUUGCCCUCGUGGUAGAACCUGUCAAACGUGUCGCCGUUUGCGCAUUGGACCACGCCGGGCCCGUGGCGCCAGCCCUGUUGGUAGCUGCCCUCGUAGACCUGACCCGACGACCACGUAAAGGUGCCGUGGCCGCCACGCAUGUCGUCACACCAGUCGCCUUCGUACCGAUCGCCGUCGUCGUAGAUCAUCACCCCGCGGCCGUGCCUUUUGCCGAUGCGCCACGCGCCCUCGUAAAUGGCGCCGCUCGCGUAGAUCAUGACCCCACGGCCGUGUUUGCGCCCGCCCUCGUCGCGCUCGCCCUCGUAGCGCGUGCCGUCGGCCCACAUGUAGAUACCGGCGUGCGGCCUGCCCUUUUUCUUUCUAAAUGCAAUAUUGGUAUCGCCGUUGGCAAAUGGCUCGAUUCGAU
RNAcentral lists this long non-coding RNA (466 nucleotides) under Pandoravirus salinus. RNAcentral describes it as "putative ncRNA". The record is from RNAcentral.